CAGCAAAGUCUGAUCAGUAAAACAGUAUUUCCCUAUGUACAGGUUUUAUGGUGUUUUGGAAAGUUACAAAGUUAAAUAUAGGGCCUCCAAAUUAAAUUCUCUGGACUUCCUGUCUGGAUUGUCAGGCAUGUGUCUCAAAUUGCAAUUAGCAAAAUCACAUAAUGAUGUGAAAAUAUGACAUAAAUAUGCACAUAUACUAUAAAUAUAUAUACAUAUCUAACAUGGGCUUGGCACUCACAUUCCUG
Pelobates cultripes (western spadefoot toad) is the source of this 245-nucleotide non-coding RNA. The record is from the annotation of a GenBank genome assembly. NCBI's taxonomy places the organism in Eukaryota, Metazoa, Chordata, Amphibia, Anura, Pelobatidae.